CAUGGUUGUCGUCAGCUCGUGUCGUGAGAUGUUGGGUUAAGUCCCGCAACGAGCGCAACCCUUAAGCUUAGUUGCCAUCAUUAAGUUGGGCACUCUAAGUUGACUGCCGGUGACAAACCGGAGGAAGGUGGGGAUGACGUCAAAUCAUCAUGCCCCUUAUGAUUUGGGCUACACACGUGCUACAAUGGACAAUACAAAGGGCAGCGAAACCGCGAGGUCAAGCAAAUCCCAUAAAGUUGUUCUCAGUUCGGAUUGUAGUCUGCAACUCGACUACAUGAAGCUGGAAUCGCUAGUAAUCGUAGAUCAGCAUGCUACGGUGAAUACGUUCCCGGGUCUUGUACACACCGCCCGUCACACCACGAGAGUUUGUAACACCCGAAGCCGGUGGAGUAACCUUUUAGGAGCUAGCCGUCGAAGGUGGGACAAAUGAUUGGGGUGAAGUCGUAACAAGGUAGCCGUAUCGGAAGGUGCGGCUGGAUCACCUCCUUU
This 489-nucleotide ribosomal RNA is filed under the name Staphylococcus aureus. Its description in RNAcentral is "bacterial SSU rRNA". It matches the Rfam family "Bacterial small subunit ribosomal RNA", at positions 1044 to 1533 of the family's 1533-position model. The record is from RNAcentral. Lineage: Bacteria; Bacillati; Bacillota; Bacilli; Caryophanales; Staphylococcaceae.